GGCCCUAUAGUUCAAGGGAUAGAACGGAAGUUUCCUAAACUUUAAAUCGCAGUUCGAGUCUGCGUGGGGCUA
Molecule: transfer RNA, 72 nt
Filed under: Candidatus Minthomonas equi
Lineage: Bacteria; Pseudomonadati; Bacteroidota; Bacteroidia; Bacteroidales
Description: tRNA-Arg
Rfam family: tRNA
About the family: Transfer RNA (tRNA) molecules are approximately 80 nucleotides in length. Their secondary structure includes four short double-helical elements and three loops (D, anti-codon, and T loops). Further hydrogen bonds mediate the characteristic L-shaped molecular structure. tRNAs have two regions of fundamental functional importance: the anti-codon, which is responsible for specific mRNA codon recognition, and the 3' end, to which the tRNAs corresponding amino acid is attached (by aminoacyl-tRNA synthetases). tRNAs cope with the degeneracy of the genetic code in two manners: having more than one tRNA (with a specific anti-codon) for a particular amino acid; and 'wobble' base-pairing, i.e. permitting non-standard base-pairing at the 3rd anti-codon position.
Source: RNAcentral